This 468-nucleotide ribosomal RNA is filed under the name uncultured bacterium. RNAcentral's name for it is "partial 16S ribosomal RNA". It matches the Rfam family "Bacterial small subunit ribosomal RNA", at positions 28 to 507 of the family's 1533-position model. The record is from RNAcentral.
GAUGAACGCUGGCGGCGUGCUUAACACAUGCAAGUCGAACGGUGAAGGCGGAGCUUGCUCUGCUGGAUCAGUGGCGAACGGGUGAGUAACACGUGAGCAAUCUGCCCCUGACUCUGGGAUAAGCGCUGGAAACGGCGUCUAAUACUGGAUACGAGCUGCGAAGGCAUCUUCAGCGGCUGGAAAGAAUUUCGGUCAGGGAUGAGCUCGCGGCCUAUCAGCUUGUUGGUGAGGUAAUGGCUCACCAAGGCGUCGACGGGUAGCCGGCCUGAGAGGGUGACCGGCCACACUGGGACUGAGACACGGCCCAGCCUCCUACGGGAGGCAGCAGUGGGGAAUAUUGCACAAUGGGCGAAAGCCUGAUGCAGCAACGCCGCGUGAGGGACGACGGCCUUCGGGUUGUAAACCUCUUUUAGCAGGGAAGAAGCGAAAGUGACGGUACCUGCAGAAAAAGCGCCGGCUAACUACGUG